CUUCGGAGUUCGCCCCCUUCGGGACUCGCCUCCGGGAGACCCCCGAGGGGGAGAGGGCGCUUCCUCCGCGUCCAUCGCCCUUGCCGCCCCUGGGUGGAACUGUUUUACAAAUCUGAGGGCCACCAUUCCAGGUAUGGCUAGCCUCCCGUUGGAAAAUUUUUACCAUCUUUCUUCAAUGUAGUUCUUAUUCUUGUGGGCAAACCAAGACUUUUCGUUUGGAGGGGACCUUGGGAUCCCCAGGAGGGGAAUCUCCGGGAGCGGGAGGCAUAGCUAAGGCUUCCUCUCUAGAAGGUGGAGUUGUCGUUGCAGCCCGUUUGCCUCUUCGUCUGCCUUUCUGCUUUGCUGCUUUUCGGGGCCUCCUGCAGCGCAUCACUGCCACCUCUUCCAGGGCCCACACAGCGUUUAACAGAGGUGGAAUUUCCUCCUUAUACUUUGUUUUUUCACUUCCAGCCGUUAAAAGUCUUUUAUUCUUUGUAAACAGCCUCAUGAACAUGCAAAGUGGCAGAAGCAUAUUUGGAAUCUGUGUAAAUACUUGCCUUCUGCUCUUUUCCUAGCCAGAGAGCUCUUGUCAGAGCUAUUAGCUCUGCUUUCUAAGCAGAAGUUUCUGCAGACAGAGACGGUACCUCUACUGCUGAGUCCAAAGUCACCGCGGCAUACCCAGCUCGGCAGACUCCCCUUAGUACGAAACUGCUUCCAUCAGUAAAAUAUUCAAUGUCCAGGUCCCCGAGGGGCCAAUCUGUUAAAUCUUUCCAGCUUGAGAACACUUUAUCUACCACGUCCACACAGCAAUGAAGGGGACUUCCUGUGUAGGGUCCAGCCCUACGGGGGCUUAGCGGGUGUUCUCCCCGUGUGCAGAGACAAGAGAUCGUAAGAAAUAAAGACACAAGACAAACAGAUAAAGAGAAAACAGCUGGGCCCAGGGGACCACUACCACCAAGACAUGGAGACCGCUAGUGGCUCCGAACGGCUGGCUGCGCUGAUAUUUAUUGAAUACAAGACAAGGGGGCAGGGUACGGACGGUGAGUCGUCCAAGUAAUUGAUAAGGUGAAGCAAGUCACGUGAUCAUAGGACAGGGGGCCUUUCCCUCUUAGGUAGCCGAGCAGAGAGAGAAGGCAGCAUACGUCAGCGUUUUCUUCUAUGCACUUAUAAGAACAAUCAAAGACUUUAAGACUUUCACUAUUUCUUCUACCGCUAUCUACUACGAACUUCAAAGAGGAACCAGGAGUACGGGAAGAGCAUGAAAGUGGACAAGGAGUGUGAUCAUUCAAGCACCACAGGGAGGGGGUUAGGCCUCCGGAUGACUGCAGGCCAGGCCUGGAGAAUAUCCAGCCUCCCACAAGAAGCUGGCGGAGCAGAGUGUUCCCUGACUCCUCCAAGGAAAGGAGACUCCCUUUCACGGUCGGCUAAGUAACGGGUGCCUUCCCAGGCACUGGCGUUACCGCUUGACCAAGGAGCCCUCAAGCGGCCCUUAUGUUGGCGUGACAGAGGGCUCACCUCUUGCCUUCUAGGUCACUUCUCACAACGUCCCUUCAGCACCUGACCCUAUACCCGCCGGUUAUUCCCAGGUUAUAUAGUAAUGGAACAAAGAGUAAUAUUAAAAGCUAAUGAUUAAUAAUGUUUAUAAUAACGAUUGAUAAUUGUCCGUGAUCAUCUCUAUAUCUAAUUUGUGUUAUGACUCUAUGACUGUUCUUAUUCCAUUUUCUUUAUUAUACUGAAACAGUUUGUGCCUUCAGUCUCUUGCCUGGGCACCUGGGUCAUCCUCCACCCACAGCUGACUUCACACCGUGCUCUUCCUUGAGCAUGUCUCAGGUUUCCGGGAAGCUGAUGUUUUUGGGAGUGCAGAAGGCUUGGGAAGUGUGGUUCCUGGUCUCUUACGUGGCCGUCUGUGGAGUAGCGUCCGGACGCUGGGGUACCGUGGGAAGGGUGGUUCCCGGUCUCUUACGUGGCCGUCUGUGGAGUAGCGUCCGGACGCUGGGGUACCGUGGGAAGGGUGGUUCCUGGUCUCUUACGUGGCCGUCUGUGGAGUAACGUCCGGAUGCUGGGGUACUGUCUCUGGCAGGGCUGUUUUCUCAGGCACCUUCUCCCACCUGGACUCAAGGGUUCUGCUUUCUUAGAAGUUUCUGUUUCCUGCUGUUUGGAAAUUCGUGAAUUGUGUGAGGUCUGAGGAGGGGGGUAACACAUUUCUGAACGUGAAGUUAUACAUUGAGGGUGGGUAGAAGCACUGUGGGCUAAGGAGGCUUCUCUGCAGGACCCCAUCAGGACGGUGUCAGGGCGUGUGGAAACACUGUAGGCUAAGUAAGCAGGCUUCUCUGCAGGACCCCAUCAGGACGGUGUCAGGGCGUGUGGAAAAACUGUAGGCUAAGUAAGGAGGCUUCUCUGCAGGACCCCAUCAGGACGGUGUCAGGGCGGGUAGAAGCACUGUGGGCUAAGUAAGGAGUCUUCUCUGCAGGAGCCGCAUCAGGACAGCGUCAGGUGACUCCAACCUCCUCUUGUAGGGGUGCCAGAGGCCCCUGUGCGCUUUACCAGGCCUGGGAGUCUCCUCUCCUCACCCCAGCUGCUGCAGGACCUCACUGUCUUGGUACAGGUCCCUGCCAGGCCCCAAUGGGGCUUCCACACUCCAGGCCCCACAGGGAGCCCCUCAAGCCUUCGCCUCUCUCGUCACAGGCCUCCUCUGCUGAAAUCUUCCCUUUUCUGGGGCUGCGGUCCUGCUCUAUGUGGGUUCAGAGGCCUAAGCCUCCCCGUGUCUCCUGGUGCAGGUCAGAGACCCAG
This 2769-nucleotide long non-coding RNA is filed under the name Homo sapiens (human). Its description in RNAcentral is "PREDICTED lncRNA (TCONS_00034737)". The record is from RNAcentral. Lineage: Eukaryota; Metazoa; Chordata; Mammalia; Primates; Hominidae.